GCUAGCUGAAGCAUAUGCCCUGCGAGCUUAGGGGUGCUACACUUGACCACGGCGGCAGUAAAGAUGACUCUGAAGAAUGGCAUGGGAUGGAUCCUUUUGAAUGCACUCAAGCAGGGGUCUCCAACCACAGGUCCACAGAGCCGGAGCUGAAUCUACCAUGAAAGACUUCAGAAUCCAGGAAGAGAGACUGACUGGGCAACAUCUUAUUCAGGAGAUGGGAUCUCACCCUGUCACCCAGGCUGGAGUACAGUGGUGCAAUCACAGCUCACUGCAGCCUUGAACUCCUGGGCUAAGGAUCCUCCUGCCUCAGCUUCCUGAGUAGCUGGGACUGUAAGGUCUUGCUCUAUUGUCCAGGCUGGAGUGUAGUGGUGCCAUCACAGCUAACUGCAGCCUCAACCUCCCAGGCUCAAGCGAUCCUCCCACCUCAGCCUCCUAAGUGGCUGAGACUAUAGGUGCUUGGUACUGUGCCCAACUAAUAUUUGGACUUUUCCUAUAUGUGGGUUCCAGAGGGCUGACUGUGAAAUGUGAGUAUGCAUGGAUUUUGGUAUAUGCAGAGAUGGGGGGCUGGAACUAAUCCUUUCUGUAUACCGAGGGAUGACUGUAUAUGUUUUUACAAUUAUGCUGUAUGACACAUAUUGUUCCAUAGCCUUGAAAAUGAUAAUUUUUAAUGAAAAUUAUUUUUAAUUGAGAGGAAUAAUAAUAAAAGUAGCAGCUGGCCAGGUGUGGUGGCUCACACCAGUAAUCACAACACUUUCGGAGGCUGAGGUAGGAGGAUGGCUUGAGGCCAAGAGUUUGAGACAGGCCUCGGAAACCAAAGGAGGCACCAUCCCUACAGAAAAGUACAUGAAUUAGCCUAGGGUGGUGACAUGUUCCUGUAGUCCCAGCUACUUGGGAGGCUGCUGUGGGAAGAUCACUUGAGUCCAAGGAGGUUGAGACUGCAGUGAGUCAUGAUCAGGCCUCUGCACUCCAGCCUGGGUGACAGAGUAAGACCCUGUCUCAAAGCAACAAAAAAGUAGCAGCUAACAUUAACUGACCUUUUACCAGGUGCCUAUAAAUACCAUAGUAUAAUUUCUUAUAACUGUUUCUUAUUUAACUUAACCACUCUGU
Gorilla gorilla gorilla (western lowland gorilla) is the source of this 1107-nucleotide long non-coding RNA. RefSeq lists it as uncharacterized. The transcript has 4 exons. Lineage: Eukaryota; Metazoa; Chordata; Mammalia; Primates; Hominidae. The record is from RefSeq and is a predicted model, not a curated record.